RNAcentral lists this long non-coding RNA (236 nucleotides) under Nicotiana benthamiana. RNAcentral's name for it is "long non-coding RNA (NBEN_LNC034928)". Lineage: Eukaryota; Viridiplantae; Streptophyta; Magnoliopsida; Solanales; Solanaceae. The record is from RNAcentral.
UAAAAUUGAAUAUAAUUCCAAUAAAAUAUUUAGAAUUUGAGUCAAAUUUAAAAGUAAUUUAAACUAAUUCGCCCAACAAAAUAUCGUAUAAUCCGUGUAAUUUGUACAAGAUUUGACGGAGAUAUCCCAAAUAAAAAAGAUAAAGAUAUGUAGUAAAAAGGGUAGUCCGAUAAAUAAGAUAUUUUGCAUUGGAACGGAAUUGGGAGAAGGUUGCCGACUUGCAACCAAGGGUGUGG